This 1269-nucleotide long non-coding RNA is filed under the name Macaca fascicularis (crab-eating macaque). Its description in RNAcentral is "lncRNA (ENSMFAG00000050483.1)". Lineage: Eukaryota; Metazoa; Chordata; Mammalia; Primates; Cercopithecidae. The record is from RNAcentral.
GACUCUGUGGGGCUGAAUUAUACAUUUGAUCUCGUUCUGCUCAAUAUUUCCCCACAAGUAGUGUUUAGGAUGCGACUGAUGCCUUUAAAGAUAUCUGCAGCAGGAAUAGUGCAGAGAAAAAAACACUCUAUGCUAAAAUAUUUUGAGCUGAAGGCAAUUAAGAAGUGCUCUGGCCUUCCCUCUAGUUUCUGAAAAGCAUACAACAUAAUCAUAUUAUACAAAGACAAAAGUGCCCUUUCUCCCCUCUCUGCCAGAAAGGACGCAGGUCAAUCUCUGCAGACAACUUCAGACCCUUAUCAUUCGGGAAACAGCACCAGAGGAAUUUACACAAAAAUCUAUCAUUUAUUGGCCUUCCCACAAUUUGUUGCCCCCAAUGACCCAAAGUCCUUUUACUUUGUCUUGGCACUUCUAUAAACAUUUAUUAUCCUUGUUGAAGAUGUUAUAUAAAAGAAAGCUCUGAGCUGUCUCUUUGAGAUUCCCUCAUUCCCAGUGUAUCUCCCAUGUAUAUAUGAAAUAUACAUGCUAAUAAGCCUCCGUUUGCUUUUUUUGGGGUUCAUCUGGUUUUGUUAUAGGAACCCCAGCCAAUGAAGCUAAGAUGGGUGGAAGAAAAGAUUACAUUUUUCUCCCCUGUAGUAGCAUUAUUCUAGCAAUAGCAUUUUUUUUUGUAGAUUUCUGUUGAAUACACACACACACACACACACGCAGACACAGCAAUGUAAAAAGAAAGAAGUGUGGGGAGUCCUGAUGAAAUUUUAGGUCCCAGAGAUUCCUAAAUAUGUUGGGAAGUUGUCUUUAAACAUUGAUUUUUUUUCCCACAUUUACUCUCAUAUAUUUUUUUUUUUUCUGAGAUACCAUUUCUAGAUUGUUUUCCUACAUUUUCUUGCAAGUCCGAGAGAGUAUGCUGGUUAGUAGUGUGUCUAAUGCACCACCUCUGUCCUUGUCAGUAAAGAAAUGUAGUAAUUGAGAGGGAUAUGAGAGUCACACUACACAGGGACGGAAACACAGAUAUGAAGUAAAUAAAAACACGUGAAAACCCAGCAUUUCUGGAACUCUCACCUACUCCUGUGCCGAUAUUCAUCCUUCAGCUCUGCCUCCGUUCUUCCCUUCUUUUCUCAUGCUAUAGGGUCUGCUUUGGAGAUGUUAUCUACUUUCAUUCUUCCAAAGUCAAGCUUCUAGCUUUGGUUGGAACUGCAGACCCAUUGACUCAUUCAGCAAAUACUUUGUAAGCACAUGGAUAGUCACUGAGAAUACCAUGGUUCACCAACAUGA